Carya illinoinensis is the source of this 2966-nucleotide long non-coding RNA. RefSeq lists it as uncharacterized. The transcript is spliced from 2 exons. The record is from RefSeq and is a predicted model, not a curated record. Lineage: Eukaryota; Viridiplantae; Streptophyta; Magnoliopsida; Fagales; Juglandaceae.
UGUCGCUAUGUUUUUUGUAUUUUAAAUAAUUAUUUUAUUGAUUAUUUUUUUGGGUUCUUUUUUCGGAUCGGGCCUUUUAUUGAUGGCUUUUGUGUUUUUUUCUGUUGGGCCGACGGGGUGUGUGUGAGGGCCCAGCCCGUGUGAGUGAGGGGUGCUUAGCCCCUAAGCCGAAAACGGCGUCGUUUGGAAAUCUCCUAGGGCUUCAUCGCUUACCCUUCUCCCUGCGCCGCACCUCACUUCCCUUUCCCUCUUCUAUUUUUCUUCUCCUCUUCGUUUUUCUUCCUUCUCCUUCUUCCUUCAUGCCCGAGCUCCUUCAUCGUCACCCACCUCCUCCAUUGAACCACCUCCACGCAUCUUCUCCUUCUCUUUCGUUCUAUGUUGUUUCGGUGGUAUUUUUUGUAGGUGUUAUCGAUUGUUUCCUUUGGGUUUGGGAUGUUCUUUUAGAUUGAAAGUUGCAAUUUUUUUACUCAUUUUGGGUGGGUUUCAACGGGUUGUUGGGAGGGUUUGGUUGGUUGGUUCUCAUGUUUAUUUCUUUGAAUUUUAUUUCUUUUGCUGUAAACCGAACCUUAUUUUCCCUCUCUUGUAUUUAUUUUAUUUCAUCUCAUUUUCUCUCUAUUUUGCAGGUAAAUCAGCGGGUCUUGCUCUGUUUUUUGACCCCAUUUUCAUCCUCAUUUGUCUGGUCUUUUAUUUCUCUAUUUUUUGUUCUGUUUUUGUUCUUGUUAUUGAUAUUUGAUAGUUUAUUAUUGUUCAAUAUAUCUUUUUGUUUUUAGUUUAUAGAUUGGAUCUGUGAUUGGUAAAGCCCUAAUUGUUUUCCUGUUCGACCACUUCCUCUAACUUAGAAACCCUAGCUAUUGUAUCAAAAGUCCUUAUUAUUAUUAUUGUUAGGUUUUUUUUUUUUUUUUUUUUUUUUUUACAAUUAUUAUUAUUAGUGUUGUUGUUGAUGUUGUUAUUUUGAGUUCUCGGUAGAACAAAUUUGUUAAAAUAUUUUCACAGUGCAUUAGGUUCAUUGCUCGCAGAGUAUGGAUCUAUUUUCCAAUUUAAUGUAAUGGUACAACAUGAAUAAAUUACCUGCCUUUUUAAUUGGGUAGUUUCUUAAACAACUCUCUUCAUGUUGAUGGAUAUUGAACAUAUUGCAGUCUAUGGUGUGCCCUUUUCUACCCCUUUAAUUUUUGCUGCUAAGUUAGGGUUAUGACAGAUUUAAUAUGAUACUAAAUUAGUUUAGCUUGCUUUAUCGAUGUUCAGUGGCACAAUUAGCAAAAUACAAUUUGGAGAGUAAGUUUUGUAGUACUUGGUACUAUUUUGUUGUCUUUGUUGAGUAGUCGUAUAAACUAUAAAUCACAAUGCCAUCGUUAUCACAAUGCUUUAACGGUAUUUCAAUUGAUGUUUAGUUCCCUGGCAUGCAUGAUUGGGCUCCUUAGUAAGUGAGAUCUUAAGGUAUAAUACAAGCGCAAAGUUUUUUUUUUUUGUUGGUUUUGAAAAAUGCUUGGUCUACAGAGAUCUGACAAAAUUAAGUUUACAAUUGGCGCAGUUUGAUAUGGUGCCCGAGAUUGUAAAGCUCAUUUUAUUGUUAAUUUUCCCAUUUAGUAAAAAUUUCCUGGAACCAAUAAAUGGUUAUUGUGUACGAUCUCUGGUCAGUUUCUUAUGAUUCGACAUGUACUUGGCCUUGUUUUACCUGCUCCAUUUCCAACCAUCUUUUGCAAUUUUUGUUUUUAAUAUUUAGAAGAUUGCAUUGAUCUUUCCAAUGUUUUAUUUUCUUUCUUAUAAUCUUAUUUUCAAUUAGCUUCCUUAAGUGUCCUUUUCUCUUUAAAGUUAGUUUUUAUUUGUCACGUAUUUCUUGCAGAUGGAGAAGGCUGUUAAAAUAUUAGAUGAGAUGACACUGGAAGGCAUCAGUCCAAAUGAACAUACAUACACGACCAUCAUGCAUGGUUAUGCAUCUGUGGGAGAUACUGGAAAAGCAUUCGAGUAUUUUUCUAGAUUGAGGAAUGAAGGUUUGGAACUUGACGUGUAUACAUAUGAGGCACUGCUGAAGGCAUGUUGCAAGUCAGGCAGAAUGCAGAGUGCCUUAGCAGUAACAAAAGAAAUGAGUGCUCAAAAGAUUCCAAAAAACACCUUUGUGUACAACAUAUUAAUUGAUGGGUAUGAAUUAAUAUCUCUUGCAUUGUACUAUUUUGUUGUCUUUGUUGAGUAGAGACUUGUUAUGUUUUUAUGUUUUUUUUUUUUAAUUUUGGGUUUGAAGUUCAUGAUGGUUUGCAGUUUUUAUAUGGAUAGAUGUAUAAUUUAGCUUGGUUAAUUUUGAUGUGAUCAAUAGACCAUAAGCUAUUUAUUUUAGAUUUAGAUGUGAUCAAUAUAUAUACACAUUUAGAAGCAUGCAAAUUAAGAAACAUAUAUUAUAACAAAUACUUCUCAUGACUUGUCAUCCUAAAAAAAUUAUGGGUUUUAUUAUUUUGGUUUGCACAUUGUUGUUGCCAGUUAUAAAUGUGAUACUUUUUCAACUGGCUUAUUGCUGUUUUUGCAUGUGUGAUUUUUAGAUGAGUUAGAAAAUAUAAUCUUUUUUAUGAUGCAGUGUUGUAAAGCUUAUAUUUGUCUGUGUUAUUAUCUAUAAUCUAUAUAAUUGUUCUUUAUUUUCUGUUUUUUUAUUUUAUUUCUUGAGCUGAUUUGCUUGUUUCUUUUCUUGUUUUGCAUUGGAUUUUACCACAAUGCAUGUAAGGUAGACGUGGCCCAGAACAGAUCUGGGAGACAAAAUUUAGUGGAAGAUGGCAAUACACAUGUAGCGUGGAAGAUGGCAAUACCCUGCAAAACCACUGCUGCAACCAAAUCUCUCUGCAUGCAGAUUGUAUUUUAUGAAUUUUUAGUAACCCGUAUGCAUGUCUGGUUUUUGUUCUUGUUUCAGCAGAGAGCACGUGUAAGACAUGCAUGUCUUAAACGUUACUGUAUACAGAUUUAAAUAUUAAAUGUUACUGUACGCA